Molecule: unclassified non-coding RNA, 25 nt
Filed under: Mus musculus (house mouse)
Lineage: Eukaryota; Metazoa; Chordata; Mammalia; Rodentia; Muridae
Description: oocyte_clustered_small_RNA4521
Source: RNAcentral
UGAAGGUCUAAUAGAACUCUGCGCU